CGUAGGUAACCUGCCUAUUAGAGGGGGAUAACUAUUGGAAACGAUAGCUAAUACCGCAUAACAGUAUGUAACACAUGUUAGAUGCUUGAAAGAUGCAAUUGCAUCGCUAGUAGGUGGACCUGCGUUGUAUUAGCUAGUAGGUAGGGUAAUGGCCUACCUAGGCGACGAUACAUAGCCGACCUGAGAGGGUGAUCGGCCACACUGGGACUGAGACACGGCCCAG
Molecule: ribosomal RNA, 223 nt
Filed under: uncultured bacterium
Lineage: Bacteria
Description: partial 16S ribosomal RNA
Rfam family: Bacterial small subunit ribosomal RNA
Source: RNAcentral